RNAcentral lists this ribosomal RNA (253 nucleotides) under uncultured bacterium. RNAcentral's name for it is "partial 16S ribosomal RNA". It matches the Rfam family "Bacterial small subunit ribosomal RNA", at positions 524 to 776 of the family's 1533-position model. The record is from RNAcentral.
UACGGAGGGUGCAAGCGUUGUCCGGAUUUAUUGGGUUUAAAGGGUACGUAGGCGGUCUGGUAAGUCAGUGGUGAAAUCUUGCGGCUCAACCGUAAAAGUGCCAUUGAUACUGCCGGACUUGAGUGUCGGAGGGGUAGCCGGAAUUCCACAAGUAGCGGUGAAAUGCUUAGAUAUGUGGAGGAACGCCGACGGUGAAGACAGGCUACUGGCCGACAACUGACGCUGAGGUACGAAAGCGUGGGGAUCAAACAGG